AUGCCCAUCCAAGAAAAAGAACACAGUACCAGGCUUCUCCCACAUUCCCCACAGUCCACAGCCAUGGCCUCCCAGUCCCAACAGCCACCCUCGCCGCCGCCGCCGCCCGAGCCGACCAGCAUUAGCUCUUUGACCGACGACCUCCUCCGUGAGAUCUUCCUCCGCCUACCGGACCUCCCGACCCUUGUCCGCGCGGCCAUCACCUGCCGCCCCUUCCUCUGCCUGGUCCGCUCCUCCCCGGCCUUCCGCCGCCGCUUCCGCGAGCUCCACGCGCCGCCUAUCCUCGCCCUCUUUCUCACACCCUACAUGCGCGCCGUCAUCCCUUCCGCCAGCGGCAGCCCCGACCCGGACACCACUGCCGCCUUCGCCGAUUUACUCGGAGACGACGACGCCACCGAGUGGGGGACAGAUUCCCAAAUUCCCUACUCCGACGGGUACGUCGCCUUCGUCAACCGGAGCACCGAUCAGACUGCCUCCUACAGCCCACUGAAUAUUGGAGCACCGGCGCAGGCGCAGGCCCUGGAUAUCUACCCCAAGCCGCCCCGCGAAGGCGUCGACGCCUGGCUCGAGUUCUACACGCUCCCUCCUGACCAAGAGGGCCAGAGGCCAUCCCGUGUGGUCUGUGUCCGUCACGAUAGCUCAUGGGCGUGCGCGCGUGUGGCCGUCUUCUCAUCUCACGCCAUGAAGUGUCAGAUCUUCCCCGAGUCCAGGGGGUUGCUGCUUGAGCGCGACAGGUGCACGAUUCGGAAGCUUGUCCAUGGGUUCGUCUGCUGGUUACAGAGUGAAAACUGCAUUCUCGCUCUCAACACUGUCACCUUUCAGUUCUCUCGAAUGUAUCUGCCACCGCCCUUGAGAGGGCCAUACACAUACUUAAGCUUUGAGCUUGGUCAGACCAAGGAUGGGAAGCUCUGUAUCGUACAUCUGCAGGAAUUCACGCUUUCUGUUUGGCUCUGGACACCCGACGAUGACGGCGUCGAGAGAUUUAUGCUGCACAAGAUGUUUCAAUUGCACACAAUUGUUAAGGAGAUCACUAAGCGUUCAGUCCUGGACAAUGUUGACGCUGGAGAGCAUAUGAACGUUACUGAUGGGUUUGUGUACCUGUCUGUUGUCCAUGGCAGGGGUAUGCAAUCUUCUCAGUGGUUCCUAUCCUUUUGCCUGGAAACAGCAGAGGUGAAGUUGCUCUUUGAGAAAACAUGCCGAAUUCGCUGUCUUGUUGAUCCAUACAUCAUGGCCUGGCCUCCUUCUUUGAUGCACGACAAGGGGGAUUCAGAAACUGAAGUUGCUGGGGACACUGUUGGAGAUGACGGUCCAGUGGGCACGGAAGAAGUUUCCCCUGUCCUCUUCACGGCAUUGCAGUCAUUCAAAGAAGCUUUGAUUGAUGAUGACAACGCAAAAUUGGUGGAGAUGGAUGCCUUCUUAGUUGAUGAUGAGAUUAGCUCCCUUUUGAACAAAAUCUCUACUUUAGAAGCAGGAUUAGCAGCUGGGAGAGACUGUGUGCUGAGAAGAGCUCAUUCCAAUAUCUACGUGGAAGGGGUGGAAAGGAGGAGUUGGUGGGAAAUGUGCAAGGGGAUGCUGGGGAGAGUUUCUUCCCACUUCUUUGCCAAUUGA
RNAcentral lists this ribosomal RNA (1608 nucleotides) under Triticum aestivum (bread wheat). RNAcentral's name for it is "partial small subunit ribosomal RNA". Lineage: Eukaryota; Viridiplantae; Streptophyta; Magnoliopsida; Poales; Poaceae. The record is from RNAcentral.